UACGAAGGGGGCUAGCGUUGCUCGGAAUCACUGGGCGUAAAGGGUGCGUAGGCGGGUCUUUAAGUCAGGGGUGAAAUCCUGGAGCUCAACUCCAGAACUGCCUUUGAUACUGAAGAUCUUGAGUCCGGGAGAGGUGAGUGGAACUGCGAGUGUAGAGGUGAAAUUCGUAGAUAUUCGCAAGAACACCAGUGGCGAAGGCGGCUCACUGGCCCGAUACUGACGCUGAGGUGCGAAAGCGUGGGGAGCAAACGGG
Molecule: ribosomal RNA, 253 nt
Filed under: uncultured bacterium
Lineage: Bacteria
Description: partial 16S ribosomal RNA
Rfam family: Bacterial small subunit ribosomal RNA
Source: RNAcentral